GUGCCAGCAGCCGCGGUAAUACGGGGGGAACGAGCGUUGUUCGGAUUUACUGGGCGUAAAGGGCGUGCAGGCGGAUUCUCAAGUCGGAUGUGAAAACCGUAGGCUUAACCUACGGCCUGCAUCUGAUACUGUUAAUCUUGAGUACGGGAGAGGAAAGUGGAAUUCCAGGUGUAGCGGUGACAUGCGUAGAUAUCUGGAAGAACACCGGUGGCGAAGGCGGCUUUCUGGACCGAUACUGACGCUGAGGCGCGAAAGCCAGGGGAGCAAACAGGAUUAGAUACCCUGGUAGUCCUGGCCGUAAACGAUGGGCACUAGGUGUUGAGGGUAUCGACCCCCUCAGUGCCGCAGCUAACGCAUUAAGUGCCCCGCCUGGGGAGUACGAUCGCAAGGUUGAAACUCAAAAGAAUUGACGGGGGCCCGCACAAGCGGUGGAGUAUGUGGUUCAAUUCGAGGCAACGCGAAGAACCUUACCUGGGUUUGACAUGUACCGGACCGCGACUGAAAGGUCGCUUUCCCUUCGGGGACCGGUGCACAGGUGCUGCAUGGCUGUCGUCAGCUCGUGCCGUGAGGUGUUGGGUUAAGUCCCGCAACGAGCGCAACCUUUGUCCUUAGUUGCCAUCAGGUAAUGCUGGGAACUCUAAGGAGACCGCCGGUGAUAAGCUGGAGGAAGAUGGAGAUGACGUCAAGUCCUCAUGGCCCUUACAUCCAGGGCUACACACGUACUACAAUGGCCGGUACAGAAGGCUGCAAGACCGCAAGGUGGAGCCAAUCCGUAAAACCGGUCUCAGUUCAGAUUGAAGUCUGCAACUCGACUUCAUGAAGUUGGAAUCGCUAGUAAUCGCGAAUCAGCAGGUCGCGGUGAAUACGUUCCCGGGCCUUGUACACACCGCCCGUCAAGCCACGGAAGUUGGGAGCACCCGAAGUCGUUUGCCUAACCGUAAGGAGGGUGACGCCUAAGGUGAAACCGAUGACUGGGGCUAAGUCGUAACAAGGUAGCC
RNAcentral lists this ribosomal RNA (998 nucleotides) under uncultured bacterium. RNAcentral's name for it is "bacterial SSU rRNA". It matches the Rfam family "Bacterial small subunit ribosomal RNA", at positions 505 to 1501 of the family's 1533-position model. The record is from RNAcentral.